GAAAAAUCGAGUUUGGUGUUCAAUUUCAGGUAUCUUAUUUCAUAUUCUUACCUCAACUUUUCAGUUUUUUUCUUUUAAAUUUUAUAUAAUGAUCGAGCGAGAGCGAAAGAGAAUUCUGAUUAUCUGAAUUUUGUGUGUUAUGAUUUAUUGUUUCAUUACAUUGUAUCUAUCAGCCUAUCGAAUAUGAGAUUUUAGUUCAAUUGGAAUAGAUUUGUAUAUCAUUUUAGUGUUCUGUGAUGACAACUUUGAGCAUUCCUGUUAAUUUUCUUCGUUUGGCCUGAGAAAAUGAAGGAAACAAAUGGAAUAUACAAUUCUUGCAUUUCUUUUUUGUUUUUGGCUUAAUUUUCUAAAUAAAAUUGAUAUAAUUAGUGGUUAGCA
Molecule: unclassified non-coding RNA, 378 nt
Filed under: Hevea brasiliensis (rubber tree)
Lineage: Eukaryota; Viridiplantae; Streptophyta; Magnoliopsida; Malpighiales; Euphorbiaceae
Source: RNAcentral